CCAGCAGCCGCGGUAAUUCCAGCUCUCCUAGUGUAUCUCGUUAUUGCUGCGGUUAAAAAGCUCGUAGUUGGAUCUAGGUUACGUGCCGCAGUUCGCAAUUUGCGUCAACUGUGGUCGUGACUUCUAAUUUGCUGGUUUGAGGUUGGGUUCGCCCUUCAACUGCCAGCAGGUUUACCUUGAAUAAAUCAGAGUGCUCAAUACAAGCGCUUGCUUGAAUAGCUCAUCAUGGAAUAAUGAAACAGGACUUCGGUUCUUUUUGUUGGUUCUAGAACUGAUUUAAUGGUUAAGAGGGACAAACCGGGGGCAUUCGUAUCAUUACGCGAGAGGUGAAAUUCGUGGACCGUAGUGAGACGCCCAACAGCGAAAGCAUUUGCCAAGAAUGUCUUCAUCAAUCAAGAACGAAAGU
RNAcentral lists this ribosomal RNA (406 nucleotides) under Caenorhabditis elegans. RNAcentral's name for it is "SSU rRNA". It matches the Rfam family "Eukaryotic small subunit ribosomal RNA", at positions 567 to 990 of the family's 1831-position model. Lineage: Eukaryota; Metazoa; Nematoda; Chromadorea; Rhabditida; Rhabditidae. The record is from RNAcentral.